This 498-nucleotide ribosomal RNA is filed under the name uncultured bacterium. RNAcentral describes it as "partial 16S ribosomal RNA". It matches the Rfam family "Bacterial small subunit ribosomal RNA", at positions 30 to 523 of the family's 1533-position model. The record is from RNAcentral.
AUUGAACGCUGGCGGCAUGCCUUACACAUGCAAGUCGAACGGUAACAGGUCUUCGGAUGCUGACGAGUGGCGAACGGGUGAGUAAUACAUCGGAACGUGCCUAGUAGUGGGGGAUAACUACUCGAAAGAGUGGAUAAUACCGCAUAAGAUCUACGGAUGAAAGCAGGGGAUAGCAAGACCUUGUGCUACUAGAGCGGCCGAUGGCAGAUUAGGUAGUUGGUGGGAUAAAAGCCUACCAAGUCGACGAUCUGUAGCUGGUCUGAGAGGACGAUCAGCCACACUGGGACUGAGACACGGCCCAGACUCCUACGGGAGGCAGCAGUGGGGAAUUUUGGACAAUGGGCGCAAGCCUGAUCCAGCAAUGCCGCGUGCAGGAUGAAGGCCUUCGGGUUGUAAACUGCUUCUGUACGGAACGAAAAGCCCUGGGUUAAUACCCUGGGGUCAUGACGGUACCGUAAGAAUAAGCACCGGCUAACUACGUGCCAGCCGCCGCAGUAA